GAGGUUCUCUCUCUCCUCACACACUCCCCCUCCCAUUCUAACCAAGGUAAUUGAGAGAGUGGCCUCCUGACUACUGCUGUGUUUUAUUUCACCAAACUGACCUUUAGUAAUGGGUUAGAGUUGGAUUAUCUUAGUAUCCCGAGUUUGUCCUGGAAGCAGACACUUUGGGUGUGCUCAAGAAUUGUUUACGAUCUCUUUGACUAUGUUCGGUUCUAUCUGGAUGGAUCUUUCCUGCUAGAUUAUCAUUCUUAGAGGGUAGAGACCACAUUUUUCAUCCCUUGCCAACACUACCCUGGCUAAUUAGAAGCAAGCACAUAGUAGAUAAGUACCCAAAGUAUUGGAGUCAGAAAAAGCAGAACUGAGUGCUGAUUCUGCCACAGUACAGGCUUGAAAUUGGAGAAGGGGGAGUAAAAAUGAUCGAGAAACUUGGAAGUGUUAGUUUCUGAGAAAGGACACACCAUCUACCUUCUGGUCCCUGAAUAUUCUCCUUGUGGAAGGGAUGAGGGCAAGAGAAGAGCUAUGGCCUUCUGGAAGGUGAAAGAUGCCUUAGCUUCUGGGACUGGGGAACAGGAAGAAUAACCAAGGCAGAUUCUUUACUUCUGUGCCACCCGGGAAGCUCUAGAGACUGAGAACUGAAACUACUGAAGCCCAGGUGCCCUAGAGCCCUUGCUCCACAAGAGAAGCCACUGCAAUGAGAAACCUGAGCGUUACAACUGGAAGGUACUUCACUGGCCACAACUAGAGAAAAGCCCACAUAGCAAUGAAGACCCGGCACCACCAAAA
This is a long non-coding RNA of Bos taurus (domestic cattle), 783 nucleotides long. The record is from Ensembl. Lineage: Eukaryota; Metazoa; Chordata; Mammalia; Artiodactyla; Bovidae.